RNAcentral lists this ribosomal RNA (405 nucleotides) under uncultured prokaryote. RNAcentral describes it as "bacterial SSU rRNA". It matches the Rfam family "Bacterial small subunit ribosomal RNA", at positions 355 to 776 of the family's 1533-position model. RNAcentral also lists the same sequence under 1 other name. The record is from RNAcentral.
UGGGGGAUAUUGCGCAAUGGGGGAAACCCUGACGCAGCAAUGCCGCGUGAAGGAUUGAAGGUCUUCGGAUUGUAAACUUCUUUUGUCAGGGACGAUAAUGACGGUACCUGACGAAUAAGCUCCGGCUAACUACGUGCCAGCAGCCGCGGUAAUACGUAGGGAGCAAGCGUUGUCCGGAUUUACUGGGUGUAAAGGGUGCGUAGGCGGGCUUGCAAGUCAGCUGUGAAAUCUAUGGGCUCAACCCAUAAAUUGCAGUUGAAACUGUAGGUCUUGAGUGAAGUAGAGGCAGGCGGAAUUCCCAGUGUAGCGGUGAAAUGCGUAGAGAUUGGGAGGAACACCAGUGGCGAAGGCGGCCUGCUGGGCUUUAACUGACGCUGAGGCACGAAAGCAUGGGUAGCAAACAGG